RNAcentral lists this long non-coding RNA (372 nucleotides) under Ananas comosus (pineapple). RNAcentral describes it as "long non-coding RNA (ACOM_LNC012595)". Lineage: Eukaryota; Viridiplantae; Streptophyta; Magnoliopsida; Poales; Bromeliaceae. The record is from RNAcentral.
GAAAACUUCAAAAACCCCCACCUGUGGUUUCACACUUUCUCACUUUAGUACCCUGUGGUUUAAAGUGUAUCAAUUUAGUGCUCUGUGAUUUCAUUUUUCUCUUUUUAUUAUCAAUUUCAUUAUUUUUUUUCUUUAAAUCAAUGACAAAGUUAAAAUUAAAGGAUAUUAAAGUAAAUAUUUAAUAAAUCUAGGUGGGUAUCUGAAGUUUUUUUAUAUAUAAUUUAACGAAAUAUUAACGAAAAAGCUGCCAAAAAGAUAAAAAUGAAACCACAAGGCAUCAAAUUGAUACACUUUAAAUCACAGGGUACUAAAGUGAUGAGAAAAUGCGAAACCACAUGAGGAAUUUUUGAAGUUUUCCCCUUAGAUUGGUUU